This 458-nucleotide ribosomal RNA is filed under the name Enterococcus faecalis. RNAcentral describes it as "bacterial SSU rRNA". It matches the Rfam family "Bacterial small subunit ribosomal RNA", at positions 28 to 465 of the family's 1533-position model. The record is from RNAcentral. Lineage: Bacteria; Bacillati; Bacillota; Bacilli; Lactobacillales; Enterococcaceae.
GACGAACGCUGGCGGCGUGCCUAAUACAUGCAAGUCGAACGCUUCUUUCCUCCCGAGUGCUUGCACUCAAUUGGAAAGAGGAGUGGCGGACGGGUGAGUAACACGUGGGUAACCUACCCAUCAGAGGGGGAUAACACUUGGAAACAGGUGCUAAUACCGCAUAACAGUUUAUGCCGCAUGGCAUAAGAGUGAAAGGCGCUUUCGGGUGUCGCUGAUGGAUGGACCCGCGGUGCAUUAGCUAGUUGGUGAGGUAACGGCUCACCAAGGCCACGAUGCAUAGCCGACCUGAGAGGGUGAUCGGCCACACUGGGACUGAGACACGGCCCAGACUCCUACGGGAGCAGCAGUAGGGAAUCUUCGGCAAUGGACGAAAGUCUGACCGAGCAACGCCGCGUGAGUGAAGAAGGUUUUCGGAUCGUAAAACUCUGUUGUUAGAGAAGAACAAGGACGUUAGUAAC